This 1521-nucleotide ribosomal RNA is filed under the name metagenome. RNAcentral describes it as "bacterial SSU rRNA". It matches the Rfam family "Bacterial small subunit ribosomal RNA". The record is from RNAcentral.
AGGGUUUGAUCCUGGCUCAGAACGAACGCUGGCGGCGUGGAUUAGGCAUGCAAGUCGAACGAGAAAGCUCCCUUCGGGGGGUGAGUAAAGUGGCGAAAGGGUGAGUAAUGCGUAGAUAACCUACCCUCGAAACCGGGAUAACAGUCCGAAAGGGCUGCUAAUACCGGAUGGCGCCCGGGUGACUUCGGUCGCUCGAGCUAAAGCUGGGGACCUUCGGGCCUGGCGAUCGAGGAGGGGUCUACGUCCUAUUAGCUUGUUGGUGGGGUAACGGCCUACCAAGGUGACGAUGGGUAGCCGGCCUGAGAGGGUGUCCGGCCACACUGGGACUGAGACACUGCCCAGACUCCUACGGGAGGCUGCAGUCGAGAAUCUUCCGCAAUGGGCGAAAGCCUGACGGAGCGACGCCGCGUGGACGAUGAAGGCCUUCGGGUUGUAAAGUCCUUUUCGCGCAGGAGGAAAACCAAGGUGCUAAUAACACCUUGUUUGACGUUACUGCGUAAAGAAGCUCCGGCUAACUUCGUGCCAGCAGCCGCGGUAAGACGAAGGGAGCAAGCGUUGUUCGGAAUCACUGGGCAUAAAGGGCACGCAGGCGGCCUGGUAAGUUGGAUGUGAAAUCCCCUGGCUCACCCAGGGAACUGCAUUCAAUACUGCCGGGCUUGAGGUCGGGAGGGGAGAGUGGAACUCCUAGUGUAGCGGUGAAAUGCGUAGAUAUUAGGAGGAACGCCGGUGGCGAAAGCGACUCUCUGGCCCGAUUCUGACGCUGAGGUGCGAAAGCCAGGGGAGCGAACGGGAUUAGAUACCCCGGUAGUCCUGGCCCUAAACGAUGAGCACUAAGUAGGGGUGGUUCCGAUGCCGUCCCUGCUGUAGCUAAUGUAUUAAGUGCUCCGCCUGGGGAGUGCGGUCGCAAGGCUAAAACUCAGAGGAAUUGACGGGGGCUCACACAAGCGGUGGAGCAUGUGGUUUAAUUCGAAACAACGCGAAGAACCUUACCCGGGUUUGACAUGCACGGAUUAGCUCCCUGAAAGGGGAGUGACGGGGUAAAACCUGGAACGUGCACAGGUGUUGCAUGGCUGUCGUCAGCUCGUGUCGUGAGAUGUUGGGUUAAGUCCCCUAACGAGCGAAACCCUUGCGUUCAGUUGCCAGCGGGUAAUGCCGGGGACUCUGGACGGACUGCCCUCGUUAAGAGGGAGGAAGGUGGGGAUGACGUCAAGUCAUCAUGGCCCUUACGCCCGGGGCGACACACGUGCUACAAUGGUCGGUACAAAGGGUUGCGAGGUCGCGAGGCCAAGCCAAUCCCAAAAAGCCGGCCCCAGUUCGGAUUGGAGGCUGCAAUUCGCCUCCAUGAAGUCGGAAUCGCUAGUAAUCGCGGAUCAGCCACGCCGCGGUGAAUAUGUUCCUGAGCCUUGUACACACCGCCCGUCAAGCCACGAAAGCUGGUAGUACCCGAAGUCGUUUGCCUAACCGCAAGGAGGGCGGCGCCGACGGUAAGACUGGUGAUUGGGACUAAGUCGUAACAAGGUA